GUCAGCCUCUGCUGAAGGAGAAAUUUACAGUUAUAAAGAAAAGUGGCAAAAAUGACCAUUAAUCUUAAAAGAAAUUCUUCAGAAGUGGCCAAAGCAUGAGAUCUGAGUGAGUUUUAACUAUCUGGAUAUAAGUUGGCUCUGAUUUAUCUCCUGUUCUAUUGAAAGAGGUCUGAAAGGAAGUGACAUAAAGAAGAAAAGUAAAAUUGGUUAAAUAGAACAUAAAUGAGAUCUAUUUGGCCCUGAGAAAGCAUCUCCACCUGCUGGUCUCCUAUUUCAGACACAGAACACUGCCCGACCUGCCACAGCCCAGAUCCUGAUUCAACUGUUUGCAGGUCUUCUCUCAGGUGCCUUUGCAGUUGGUGGAAGAUCAGAACGGAGGUGGCAGGAAGGAAGUCCAGCUGAACAAUGACAUCCAGGAAGCCUGUGUUGCUGAGUCUGAAUGAAAACUGAGGACCUCACACAGUUCAGCAAUCACCAAAGAGCUUCCUUCUAGUCAAACCUCUAAUGAUCCGGCUAAUUGAUUUGAUCCCUUUCAUUGACUGAUAGUCCACAGCUCCCUCAAUGACUAGUCUGUAAUCUCCUGAUGUUCCUGAGAACCAAGUCAUGCUGCUUUUAGUCAGAACUCCCCUGAUUGGAGACCUUAUGGAAACUCAGAUAAGCAUUCUGAACUCCUUAUUUAUUAACAUCUGUAGCUUCCUGAUUUAAAACAUGCUCCUCACGUCAGGUGCAUGGGAAAAAAAGAAAAAAAAAACCCUCUCACUCAUUUCCUCACCCACUCCAGAGUA
This is a long non-coding RNA of Mauremys reevesii (Reeves's turtle), 785 nucleotides long. RefSeq lists it as uncharacterized. The record is from RefSeq and is a predicted model, not a curated record. Lineage: Eukaryota; Metazoa; Chordata; Testudines; Geoemydidae. The transcript has 3 exons.